Molecule: ribosomal RNA, 253 nt
Filed under: uncultured bacterium
Lineage: Bacteria
Description: partial 16S ribosomal RNA
Rfam family: Bacterial small subunit ribosomal RNA
Source: RNAcentral
UACGUAGGGUGCGAGCGUUGUCCGGAAUUACUGGGCGUAAAGAGCUCGUAGGUGGUUUGUCGCGUUGUUCGUGAAAACCUGAGGCUUAACCUUGGGCGUGCGGGCGAUACGGGCAGACUGGAGUACUGCAGGGGAGACUGGAAUUCCUGGUGUAGCGGUGGAAUGCGCAGAUAUCAGGAGGAACACCGGUGGCGAAGGCGGGUCUCUGGGCAGUAGCUGACACUGAGGCGCGACAGCGUGGGGAGCAAACAGG